Non-coding RNA from Aedes albopictus (Asian tiger mosquito), 118 nucleotides. The record is from Rfam. Lineage: Eukaryota; Metazoa; Arthropoda; Insecta; Diptera; Culicidae.
UGCCCAGCAACUCCUAUCUCUACCUCCACGCGGUACCGGCCGGAAACUAUGAGCAACCUUAGGGAAGAUCGGGUAACCAACCCCGGUGGGAACUUUGGUCGUAGGCUGACAGGGAAGG